GCUGGUGUAGCUCAAUUGGUAGAGCAGCUGACUUGUAAUCAGCAGGUUGGGGAUUCAAGUUCUCUCGCCAGCUCCA
RNAcentral lists this transfer RNA (76 nucleotides) under Propionispira arboris. RNAcentral describes it as "tRNA_Thr_TGT". It matches the Rfam family "tRNA". Rfam says of the family: Transfer RNA (tRNA) molecules are approximately 80 nucleotides in length. Their secondary structure includes four short double-helical elements and three loops (D, anti-codon, and T loops). Further hydrogen bonds mediate the characteristic L-shaped molecular structure. tRNAs have two regions of fundamental functional importance: the anti-codon, which is responsible for specific mRNA codon recognition, and the 3' end, to which the tRNAs corresponding amino acid is attached (by aminoacyl-tRNA synthetases). tRNAs cope with the degeneracy of the genetic code in two manners: having more than one tRNA (with a specific anti-codon) for a particular amino acid; and 'wobble' base-pairing, i.e. permitting non-standard base-pairing at the 3rd anti-codon position. Lineage: Bacteria; Bacillati; Bacillota; Negativicutes; Selenomonadales; Selenomonadaceae. The record is from RNAcentral.